Molecule: unclassified non-coding RNA, 3106 nt
Filed under: Leishmania donovani
Lineage: Eukaryota; Euglenozoa; Kinetoplastea; Trypanosomatida; Trypanosomatidae
Description: gene:LdHU3.30.2560(CDS-product:hypothetical_prote in_conserved)
Source: RNAcentral
CGGUCUGCGUCAGUGGCGCUGCCGUUCUUCGCUUCAUUUUCCCUUUUUGCUUUCGUCAUCUGUUCCACGAGGGAGUCUACGGUGACCAUAGAAAGCAUCACGCAUAAACACGCAUACGCCCACACCCACAUAGAGGGAAAGCACCGUGCACGAGCCUACCGCGAGGGUCAUCCUAUUGCCGCUCUUGUCAUAUCCGUGCCACAUUCAUAGAUAAACGCUUCACGCGCACAAACCGGCCGGCUUGCAGUCUUGAUCUGCUUGCCUGUCGCGGCAGUGCAUCAACGUUCUGCAUGCACACAUAAGCAUUCAUAGAAGGUUACCAAGAAAGGCAACUCGAGCGCGUCACGAGUGUUGCCGUUGGCCCUGCCACACCACCGGUGUCUCCGACUUUGUCAAGCUCAUCGCGGCACCGCCACAUUGAUUCUCUACUUCCCUCUCCUCCCCCCUUCCCCGGCCCCCGUCACCUGCUCCGGCAUCCAUGACGUCUCUGGCUGGCGGCACCAUCACCGUCACCGUGCCGAGUUUUGUAACGGUGACGUUGACACCGGCACCGGACAUCAACGUGAGGGGCGCCUCCACGGCGCCAGGAUCACCUUUCGCAGAGGUGAGGCCCAAGACGCUGCGUGUGCCAAUCACCGCCUCGAUGACGGUGCGUGAGCUGGCCAAGGGUGCCAUGAUGCGCUACAUACUCUCCCUGCGUCGUACUGCGAAGGAGGCGGACGCUGUCGUGCGUCGACUCUGCCGCUCUGGGAUCGCCGUCACAGAUGUGUACGUUUUGGUCCCCAGCAACGCCGCGCGGUCGAUCACGCUCGAGGAUGACGAGACAGGCAACGGCGGCAGGACCGGCGAGCCGCCCGCUCACAUGAUCGAGCUUCUCUCCAACGACUGCGUGGUGCAGGUGGUGCAGGUGAUGAAGGAGACAGUGCACAUGCGCUUCCGUGCGGGAAACGGUGCUUCAGCGAAGAAGAGGGAAUCCUCGUCGGUGCAGGCGGCUGAUGCCACAGAAGCGCAGAGCACCGAGGAGACGUUCAACUCAAUCAGCAUCGCUGCACCACUUGCUGUUGUUGCCGUCGGUGGCGCUGCCUGUGACGGUCCAACCCUGCCUAGUGGAGACGAGCCUAUAAAGAACGCAGCGGCUUUCGGCUGUGCCUCGGACGCGGUCUCAGACACUGCCCAAGAGAGCAGCAGCACGCCGGUCGCUGCUAGGCAGAGCAGCAAGAAGACGGCGCACAACGUCGACAGCACCGGGGCGGACAGCAGCUCGGAAGAGGAGGAGGAAAAAGAAGCGUGGCAGGACAUUGCGCGGUCGAUUGCGACGCUGCGCGAACGCGAGGCGCAACGCAUUCGAUGGGGCCCAGCUGCGCACAAGCACUUCGCCGCCAACUACGUGUCAAGCCCAGAGAAGAUUAUGAUUGGCCGGUUCAAGUGCGGCCGACGCCCACCGCCGGUGGUGCAGCUGCAUCCCACGCAAACCUCGUCCUCGGCAUCGUCGCAGGGCUCCGUGUCUGAAGUGCCGUCGCCGAGGUCUUCGGGGGACAGCAGAGGCACCACCGAAACCGGCGGUGACCGUCGGCCACCGCGACCGGUGAUCGCUCAAGAGGGCAGCUCCAAAGAACAUCUCCGGUACCAGCGACACGAGGCCAGGCAAUCGCCACAACUUCCCAGCAAGCAUUACCGCUGCGACACUUACUCUUAUCCGCGCAGCGAGAGCAGCAGCAUCAAGCGCGCGCACGAGGUGUUGACCCCGUCCGCCGCGACGGAGUCCCAGCACCUCCAGGUUACAGCUGCCCCAUCAGUUCCCGCUGUUGAGGAGAUGCACGUAGCGACUGAAGUGACGACAGCGGAGCGACAGCAAGUAUCCCCCAGUAGCGCGCGACAGGAUGCUCUUCUCUGCUCCACGGAGACCCCGGUGGACGCUGCAGCGCGCUUGGGCACGCCGCCGGGGGCCCCCAGAACCGUUGCGAAGCCGGCUGUAGCGGUUGUGGCUCGCCAGCUCAGCUUUGACGACGACGGCGACACCGCCCCGAAGCGCAGCCCGGCAGUGGCCGAUUACUCAGCCGUUACCCCACUAGGCGGUGUACGGCGCGUGAUUCAGGGGUAGAAGCAAUGAUGCGUGAGCGGGGGGCAUUGGUACUGUAGCGAAGCGUUUCGCAGGCUUUUGUUUCCCUUGCCCCCUUCGUUCUUGUCGUGCCUCGACGUGCUCAGGCUUGGCGCAGGUCUUUCGGCUCACAUCAAACGAUUUCGUCCCAGCUGCCUUCGUCUUUUUCACCCCACUCUCCCCUUUCCUGCGCGGGCUUUGCCUAGGUUGACCUGUGCACCGUGUGUGCAAGUCCCUGCACAUAAGGUAUCCACGCGUGUGCCGACGCGCUGCCUUCUGUUUGCCUCCUCCGUUUUAUCUGUAGAGGGUGUCGUGCCGCUUCGCCGCCGACCUCGACGGCUCUUCCAUUGCGAUCGGCUUGCCGAUGUGUUGUGUACGCGUUUCGCUUUUUAUGGAGUCGUGAGAGGUGUGCCCGCACAUGACGUCAACCCCCCAACCGACCGGGCGACAUGUUUUUCUCCGGUGACCGUCUUGUGGCGGUGCUGGCACAGGAAUGAGCGAAAUAUGCGACUAAAAAGAAAAAAACACACAAAGCCUAAGCUGCGCUGCGGACCGUUCCAUUCGUCUUCGGGUGGAACGAUGAGGGAGAGCAGAUCAAGCCUUCAUGGUGGUGCGCGCGCCGCGCCCGUCUUUCUCUCCUUCUAUGUGCCUUUGCCCUCUCCGGUCGGAGGAGCUGCGCACAGGCGUCUUCCGUGAAGGGAUGGCGGGCGUGCACACGCGACUACGGACACUGCCCACAAGCAUCGUGCCGCUACGCUGAGGUUCUUGGAGGCGACGCCGGCCGCUUUCCAUAGGCUGAGGAAGGAUGCGCAUUAUUCGCCACACUGUGAAAAAGAAGAGGGUGGGGGGGGUGCGACACGUCUAGCUGCGACGCGAUACACGCCACUCCACAUGUGGGUGGGGACUGACCACGUCAUCGAUCUGCCCAUUGGUUUCUUCUAGCGAAUCUUUUCGCCUCCGAUCACCCAUCUUCUACACUUUAUAAGGCCCCCCCCCCCACAUACGCAG